This 204-nucleotide long non-coding RNA is filed under the name Daphnia pulex (common water flea). RNAcentral describes it as "uncharacterized LOC124194142". Lineage: Eukaryota; Metazoa; Arthropoda; Branchiopoda; Diplostraca; Daphniidae. The record is from RNAcentral.
GCCUCGUGUGUCUCGCUGCCUGUUCUUAGGCGUACGUCUCAUCACAUGCAACAGAAAAAAGUAUAACAAAACUUCUUCAACGCUGGUGGUUACCUUGUUGCAGCCAAAUGGUGAAAGGUGUGACAAAGACAGAUUGAGCCUUUGUAUGCAGUAUGCGGUUGCAGUGUAAUCCAGAAGUUGCUGUGCUGUUGUAGCUGAGCUGUU